This 661-nucleotide ribosomal RNA is filed under the name uncultured bacterium. Its description in RNAcentral is "bacterial SSU rRNA". It matches the Rfam family "Bacterial small subunit ribosomal RNA", at positions 208 to 860 of the family's 1533-position model. The record is from RNAcentral.
UCGGGUGUCGCUGAUGGAUGGACCCGCGGUGCAUUAGCUAGUUGGUGAGGUAACGGCUCACCAAGGCCACGAUGCAUAGCCGACCUGAGAGGGUGAUCGGCCACACUGGGACUGAGACGCGGCCCAGACUCCUACGGGAGGCAGCAGUAGGGAAUCUUCGGCAAUGGACGAAAGUCUGACCGAGCAACGCCGCGUGAGUGAAGAAGGUUUUCGGAUCGUAAAACUCUGUUGUUAGAGAAGAACAAGGACGUUAGUAACUGAACGUCCCCUGACGGUAUCUAACCAGAAAGCCACGGCUAACUACGUGCCAGCAGCCGCGGUAAUACGUAGGUGGCAAGCGUUGUCCGGAUUUAUUGGGCGUAAAGCGAGCGCAGGCGGUUUCUUAAGUCUGAUGUGAAAGCCCCCGGCUCAACCGGGGAGGGUCAUUGGAAACUGGGAGACUUGAGUGCAGAAGAGGAGAGUGGAAUUCCAUGUGUAGCGGUGAAAUGCGUAGAUAUAUGGAGGAACACCAGUGGCGAAGGCGGCUCUCUGGUCUGUAACUGACGCUGAGGCUCGAAAGCGUGGGGAGCAAACAGGAUUAGAUACCCUGGUAGUCCACGCCGUAAACGAUGAGUGCUAAGUGUUGGAGGGUUUCCGCCCUUCAGUGCUGCAGCAAACGCAU